Molecule: non-coding RNA, 132 nt
Organism: Daldinia grandis
Lineage: Eukaryota; Fungi; Ascomycota; Sordariomycetes; Xylariales; Hypoxylaceae
Source: the annotation of a GenBank genome assembly
GCCCGGUUAGCUCAAUCGGUAGAGCGUGAGACUCUUAAUCUCAAGGUUGCGGGUAAGUUCUAGAGAUUUCCCACACAUUUCAUACUAUUCAAAGCUAACAUGUCCUCCAAGGUUCGACCCCCGCAUCGGGCU